Molecule: transfer RNA, 66 nt
Filed under: Rhynocoris marginatus
Lineage: Eukaryota; Metazoa; Arthropoda; Insecta; Hemiptera; Reduviidae
Description: tRNA-Ile
Source: RNAcentral
AAUAAGGUGCCUGAUAAAAGGAUUAUUUUGAUAGAAUAAAACAUGUAUAAAGAAAUACCCUUAUUA